AGUCCUGUGGAAACAUGAAGGGUGAAGAGUGGUCCGAUCAAUAUUGAUAACAUUUUAUAAAAAAAGAAAUAAAAUCCCAGGAAAAUUAUCAAGAUUUCUGCCAGUUUAUCUAAUCCUGAAGGAAGGUAUGUCCACUGGAAAAAUAUUAACUGCAUCAAACUAAGGCAAAGAAAGACAAAUAAUGCUUAUUUAAUGUUACAGUCCACUGGAGAGAGAGUUACAGUGGGGGACAACUGACCCCCACAGGAGUUCUCCAAAGAAAAGCAAUGGCUUCCCUUAGUGCAGGGAUACUGAAGCAGCACAUCUUCUGUUCGCUGGUGGGAAAGGGAGGCUGCUU
Molecule: long non-coding RNA, 337 nt
Organism: Oxyura jamaicensis (ruddy duck)
Lineage: Eukaryota; Metazoa; Chordata; Aves; Anseriformes; Anatidae
Exons: 3
Source: RefSeq, a predicted model, not a curated record